GACGAACGCUGGCGGCGUGCUUAACACAUGCAAGUCGAACGGAAAGGCCCUGCUUGCAGGGUACUCGAGUGUCGAACGGGUGAGUAACACGUGGGUGAUCUGCCCUGCACUUCGGGGUAAGCCUUGGAAACUGGGUCUAAUACCGCGUAUGAGCCAUUUUUAGUGUUGUGGUUGGAAAGUUUUUUCGGUGUAGGAUGAGCUCGCGGCCUAUCAGCUUGUUGGUGGGGUAAUGGCCUACCAAGGCGGCGACGGGUAGCCGGCCUGGGAGGGUGGACGGCCACAUUGGGAAUGAGAUACGGCCCAGACUCCUACGGGAGGCAGCAGUGGGGAAUAUUGCACAAUGGGCGCAAGCCUGAUGCAGCGACGCCGCGUGGGGGAUGACGGCCUUCGGGUUGUAAACUCCUUUCGCUAGGGACGAAGCUUUUUGUGACGGUACCUAGAUAAGAAGCACCGGCUAACUACGUG
Molecule: ribosomal RNA, 465 nt
Filed under: uncultured bacterium
Lineage: Bacteria
Description: partial 16S ribosomal RNA
Rfam family: Bacterial small subunit ribosomal RNA
Source: RNAcentral